UUAAAGCAACAAAAAAAAAAAAAAAAAAAAAAAAAAAAAAAUAAAAAAAAA
Molecule: ribosomal RNA, 51 nt
Filed under: Vitrella brassicaformis
Lineage: Eukaryota; Vitrellaceae
Description: partial Trypanosomatid mitochondrial large subunit ribosomal RNA
Source: RNAcentral